AUAGGCAGAGAGAGAAGCAGGCUCCAUGCAGGGAGCCUGGUGUGGGAAUCGAUCCUGGGACUACAGGAUCAUGCCCUGGGCUGAAGCCAGGCACUAAACCGCUGAACCACCCAGGUGUCCCUCAGGUCAGCUUAUAUAGCACUUCUUCGCAGUCUUCCCUGGUCCUCCAGACCAGGUUAGAUCUCCAUUGCUCUCUAUAUUCUUCUCUACAGCGUUUCACUUACAUGAACUACUUGUUUAAGAUCUAUCCUCCCUACAGACUGUAAACUCCAUGAGGGCAAAGAAUGUAUCUCCUUGGUUGCCUGCUUGAUAUCUAUUGUCAAGCACAGUACCUGGCAUGUACUUGAUAUUCAACAGAUGUUUGCUGAAUGAAUAAUCUUGCUUUCACAUCCUAUCCUGGGGCAGCUGAAGUUUGGGAUCCAAGUACAGGAAUUUGCAUUUAUUAAAUUUCACAUUAGACCAUCCCAGAUAUUAGUAUUCUAAUAAAUCUCAAUCUUUCUAAUAUUUAGAGCACCUACUGUUUACCCUGAAUGUACCUGAUGUUGGGAAAUACAAAGAAACUAGCACAGUCUUAGCUCUAGGAGCUGAUAGUCUAGUUUGGGAGAUAGAUAAGAAAACUAGUAGUUCUAGGGGCACCUGGGUGCCUCAGUCAGUUGAGCAUCUGAAUCUUGGUUUUGGCUCAGGUCACGUUCUCAGGGUCGUGAUAUUGAGCCUCUCAUUAGGCUACACCCUUGGAAGGGAGUCUACUUGAGAUUUUCUCUCCCUCUCCCCUCCCCUGGCCCCCUGCUUACACUUUCUCUCUCUCUCUCUCAUAAAUAAAUAAAUAAAUAAAUAAAUAAAUAAAUAAAUAAGAAAACUAGUAGUUCUGGAGCUGUUGUUAUGCCCAGAGAAUGGAACUGCUAAAUCUGGCUGGGCAAGAGGGGUAGGGAAGGCUGAACUAAGAAAUAAUUUAAGAUGGACACGAGGCAGGGAGGACUUUUCAAGAAGAGGAGGCAAAUGUAUCUUGGCAUAGAGGCAAAUCCAGGACAUGUGAGGUCAAUACAUGGCAAGUAGUUCAGUUGACUCACGAGGGUCAGAAUAGGGACUUUUGUAGAUAGCUUCUUAUAAUCAUAUACACACGCCACAUUAUCUCGGACUUCAAAAUUUUCUUACCAUUCUUUUUUUCCAAUCUGAAGAAUGUCUUCUUGGCAGAAAAUAUGACAGAAAGUGGCUUCUGGUUAUGUCUCUGUUACUCCAUUUUUCAUACUAGCUAUGAGUUAUGUUUCUAAGAUAUGUAUCUGAUCAUAUCACCACCACCACCCUUCCUGAUUUAAAGCUUUCAGUGGUUACCAAUUACCCCUAGAAGUCAGAUUCUUUAUUAUGGCAAAUAAGGCUCUUGGUGCAAGCUUAUGAUUCCAAGCCCACUUUCUCCUCACAUGCAUCACGGGGAGCCACAGUGACUCUACUAACAUGUGCACUUGACUUCCAGCAUCAUUUAUUCUCUCUGAAUGGGGAGACAGGAGGGAUGUUGAAGAGGUCCAUGGCUUGGAUCUCUUACUACUUCCCAUGGAGCAUCCUGCUCCCAACACCAUGAUUCCCACUUGCCGAGUUAUUUAUAGUUCCCUGAAUGCUUUCUUUCUUUUGCCACUGGGCUUUUGCACAUGCUACUUCCUUUGCUUGGAACACCCUUUCCCUGGCUUUAAGUCAGGCUGGCACCUCCUUCCCCCAGUUUUCAGAAUGCAAGGGAGGUGUUACUUUCUCCAGAAAGUCUUCCUGCCUCCACUUCUGAAGUCCCACAGAACUAUGUGCUCACUUUUCUAAGGGCAAAACCACUCUGUUUUAAUCUGCUUUCUGAUCCCUUUCCCUUAUUUGACUUAUUUGACUUCAUCUGACUUACUGUCUUAUGUUAAGCAUGUAGCAUGGUACUAAACUUUGAAUAGACAUUUGUCGAUUAAAGAAUGAUCAUAUAAGUGAAUAAAUGAAUGGAUAAACUUCUCAUUGUUCCUGAAACACAUUCUUAUUGAUGACUGUGCCUUCUCUGCAGGUCAGUUCUGAAACUGAGCUCUUCAUUCCUCCCCACUUCUCCCCGCCCACCAGUGAAUCGCCUCCUCCUCUCCCCUGUCCACCUCAGUAAGUGGUACCUAUGCCCACUGGUUCAUAUCAGAAACUGAAGACUUUCUCAUGGUUCAUUUGUUCAUUCAACAUUUAUUGAACACCUACUUUGUGCCAGGCACUUUGCUAAACAGUGAGGACAUAGCCUCUGGCUUCACAGAGUUCCCUAUCCAGUCAGGACUAAGUUUCUGAGGGCUCUCCAUCCUGUCUCUGAAAAGAAUUCCAGGAAGACCACAUGCUGCCUGCCUAUCUAUGCUGGUUCUCACCCAUAGGAGGGCAGGAUGGUGGAGAGGAAAGUUCCAGGGCUUUGGCCUCAGGAAGAGGUGGGCUUAAAUCCAAGCUCUUCUUUACCCUGAAUCAGUUUCAUUUAAUAUUAUUUUUUAAAUGAAACAUAUAAUAUUUAAAAAUAUAAUAUCCAAAUAUAUGUAUAUAUAUACAUAUAUAUGUAUAUGUAUAUAUAUACAUAUAUAUAUAAUAUCAAUGCCUACUCAAUGCUUGCUGUUGUGCAAGGUGGCCAUGACUCAGUGGAGAACAAAUGAGACAUAGCACUGCCUGCACAGAAUUUAGGCUUAGUGGAGGAGACAGAUAUUAAACACAUAAACAAACAUAUCACUAGAAUUCAUCAUAAACACUUAAAGACAAAGAUAAUAAAUAGAAAAAAUCAGAGGUAUUUUUAUUAGAUUGAGAAGAGUUCUCUGGGGGAAAUGGCAUUUAAGCUAAGAUCUGAAGCAUAAGGACCCAGCUAUGUGAAGAGGUGGGUGGGAUGCAAAGACCCUUAAAGUGAGGGAAGAGUCUGGGCAGACAGGGAGCCCGUCUUGCCAGGUUAGGGAUGAUGAGCUGACUCUAGGGGCCAUGCAUGUUAAAGAGAUUUCUGGGUUGCCGGGCUAGAGAGUCUGGAUUGGGAGGUGGCAAGAAUGGAAGAAAGAUAUCAAGGAAGACUAUUUCUGCAGUAACAGAUGAUAGGAGAUGAUGGCCUGAUUGGGAGUGGUGGAGCUAAGCGGGGUAGAAACGCAUGCAUUUGAGAGAAGUUUUAGAUGCAGCAUGGUCAGGAUGGAGUGAUGCAUCGAAUGUGGGGCUGAGCAAGAGGGAAAGGUCAAGAGUGGCUCUAGUUUCUUGUACAAGCAAGUGGCUAGGGAGAUGGCAUGGGAAGAGUGGAGAAGGAGCAGAUUUGAGGGGGUGAGUUAUUGGCAGCAUCUGGACAGGUAAGUUGGAGUGUCUGUCAGAGAUCCAAGUGGUGGUAGUAAACAGCAGGUGGGGGCUUCAAAGAAGGGUCGAGGUAAACUUGGAGAGGGAAGGGGGGGAGGGAGGUGGGCGGGAGAGGACGGAAGAGCGAGGAAGGAUGAAGAAAUUCAUUCAUCUCUCUGAACCACAUCUUCUUCACUUCUAAAGUGGGAGCAAUAACAUGAAAUGAGAUCAUGUAAAGCCUCCUGGCAUAUAACAGGCACUCAGUGAAUGCUGCUUUCCUUCCUUUUUCUUCCUCUUUCCCUUUAAUUUAUGCCCACCUUCCUUCCUCCCUUCUUUUUUUGAAGAUUUUAUUUAUUUAUUCAUGAGAGACAUAGAGAGAGAGGCAGAGACACAAGCAGAGGGAGAAGCAGGCUCGCUGUGGGGAGCCUGAUGCGGGACUCGAUCCCAGGACCCCAGGAUCACGCCCUGAGCCAAAGGCAGAUGCUCACCCACCAAGCCGCCCAGGCGCCCCCAUCUUCCUUUCCCUUAGUGGCUCUUUGAGCCCCUUUCCUUUCUCACUGUCCCUAUACCUUGUGCACAAUUGUCACAAAAAUGAGGAGUGAGCUUCUUAGAAAUGGCUAAGGAACUCAGGGCCAGGAUUAGUUGACUUAAAAUUCAUGCUUUCAACAAUUACUCUGCCUUCUGCUUGGAACACUCUUCUUUUGCUCUUCGGCUGCUUAUCACACUUGUGUUCUCCCUAAAGCAUCAUUCCCAGUUUUGCCAGCUCUGUGACGCUUUCCCGAGGUCUCUAGCUGACUUAGGUGCUUGCUUCUGGGUGGUGCUGCAACUUGUUCAUACAUCUAUCUUGGCACCUAUCAUAGCACAUUGAAAUGAACUCUUUAGCUGGGCUGUCUCCUCCGUGAACUAUGAAUUCCUUGAAGCAGGAACUAUUUUUAAAUCUCUCCAUCUCCAGCAUUUAAGUUAGAGUAGGCAGUCUAUUAAAAAAUGUCGCAUGACCUCCAAGGCUCUGAGAUCCCAUAAUUUGAAGCAAAAAGUUUAGAUGAGUGAAAAAGCAAGCACCACCCACAGCUCCUUUGAUAUCUUUUUAGGAGGGUGUAUGCUAUAACAGCUAAGAUCACGUCCAAGGGAAUCAGGCUGGAAGGUUUUAGCAUCUUGUCUUCAGAUCAACACGCUGCAUUGACUGGCAAGCCAAGUGGUACCCAGAGGCACCUGCAGCCAAGUCAUCAUUCCAGAUCCCAGUGAAAGGACUGUAUUUUAGGAAAAUGUCUGUAAUUUACAAUUUUAAUAUUCCUACACCGAGGUAAUAUAGGAGGACAAGGUUAUCAUCUCUGUGCUAAAUGCCAAAAAGAAGGAAAAUUCUGUAAGCUGCAGCUGUUCCCCUAGACUCUGGGAGCGUCUACAGAGCUUGGAGAACCCUGAGGUUGCCAAGAGAGCCUUCUCAUAUUUUGUGAUUUUCCUUCAGGGAAUGCCAGCCAUUUUUUUUUCCUUUACUCACACUCUCGAUUCAGCAUAUAAAGGGAAAAUAAAAGGGAAGUGACUUAAACAGUAGGUCUGGAGGGCUUUGGCCAAGCAGAGUGGGCCUCCCAUAAAUAUUGGCACAAAUAAAUGAUUCUAAAACCCCAAAUGCCUCAGUUUUUCUUUUAGAAUCUGUAUUCUGAGCGUAGACAAUCACUUUGUCCUCUCUCCUCCUAGAGAAAUCUUAUGAAUCAUUUAUAUCACUUGUUAUCACUGUACCUAAUUCCAUACUGACC
Molecule: long non-coding RNA, 5027 nt
Filed under: Canis lupus familiaris (dog)
Lineage: Eukaryota; Metazoa; Chordata; Mammalia; Carnivora; Canidae
Description: lncRNA (ENSCAFG00845027348.1)
Source: RNAcentral